Molecule: ribosomal RNA, 253 nt
Filed under: uncultured bacterium
Lineage: Bacteria
Description: partial 16S ribosomal RNA
Rfam family: Bacterial small subunit ribosomal RNA
Source: RNAcentral
UACAGAGGUCUCAAGCGUUGUUCGGAUUCACUGGGCGUAAAGGGUGCGUAGGUGGCCAGGGAAGUUUGAUGUGAAAGCUCGGAGCUUAACUCCGAAAUGGCAUUGAAUACUAUCUGGCUUGAGGGUCGGAGGGGAGACUGGAAUUCUCGGUGUAGCAGUGAAAUGCGUAGAUAUCGAGAGGAACACCAGUGGCGAAGGCGAGUCUCUGGACGACACCUGACACUGAGGCACGAAAGCUAGGGGAGCAAACAGG